RNAcentral lists this long non-coding RNA (1497 nucleotides) under Pelobates cultripes (western spadefoot toad). Lineage: Eukaryota; Metazoa; Chordata; Amphibia; Anura; Pelobatidae. The record is from RNAcentral.
UUCUAUUUGACUCUCAGAUAUGAAGUGCACGCCCCAAAUUUACUUUUUAGCACCAAAAAAAUUUGAAUUUUUCAAAGUGCGAUGUAACCACAGUAUUUGACGGUUCUAUUUGACUCUCAGAUAUGAAGUGCCCCCCCCCAAAUUUACUUUUUAGCACCAAAAAUAUUUGAAUUUUUCAAAGUGCAAUGUAACCACAGUAUUUGAUGGUUCUAUUUGACUCUCAGACAUGAAGUGCACGCCCCAAAUUAACUUUUUAGCACCAAAGAAAUGUGAAUUUUUCAAAGUGCGAUGUAACCACAGUAUUUGACGGUUCUAUUGGACUCUCAGAUAUGAAGUGCACCGCAGGCAGCAAAUGUACUAUUUAGCACCAAAAAAAUGAGAAUUUUCAAGUGCGAUGUAACCACAGUAUUUGACGGUUCUAUUUCUCAGACUCUCAGAUACGAUGUAACCACAGUAUUUGACGGUUCUAUUUGACUCUCAGAUACGAAGUGCACGCCCCAAAUUUACUUUUUAGCACCAAAGAAAUGUGAAUUUUUCAAAGUGCGAUGUAACCACAGUAUUUGACGGUUCUGUUUGACUCUCAGAUAUGAAGUGCACCGCAGGCAGCAAAUGUACUAUUUAGCACCAAAAAAAUGUGAAUUCGUCAAACUGCUAUGUCACAGCAGUAUUUAACGGUUCUAUUUGACUCUCAGAUAUGAAGUGCACUCCACAAAUGUACUUUUUAGCACCAAAAAAUGAGAAUUAGUCAAACUGCAAUGUCACAGCAGUAUUUGACGGUUCUAUUUGACUCUCAGAUAUGAAGUGCACGCCACAAAUUUACUUUUUAGCACCCAAAAAAUUUUUGUUUGUCAAACUGCAAUGUCACAACAGUAUUUAAAAAUGCCUAGAUGUUGCCCACUGAGCUACCAGAACAGGAUUAAAGUAAUGUGCCUGGCACACAUGCAGUUGCAAGUGUCCACCUAACAAACAGACUGAUUGCUUAUUUCUCUGUGGCACUGGGCUCAGGGCAGGGCACAAAAAUGUAGUAUAGCACCCACAAAAAUAAACGCUGUAGUUUGCAGAUUCAGCACCAGAAUUCUUUCCUAAUCAGUCCCUCACAGCUGCAGCAUCCUUUCCCUACACUAACAAGAGCUCAUGUGACUCUAUAGAUAUAGAGGAUUGGCCUUGUUGCACUGGCCAAUCACAGCCAUGCCAUUAGUAGGCAUGGCUGUGAUGGCUUCUAAGGGCACAUGAGUCAAACGCUGGUUGAUUGGCUGCCCUGCAGCUUUUCAAAACGCGCCAUUAAAUCGCCGAACACCGAACUCGAACGGUUACUGAAAUGUCCGGGCUCGGGGUCCAAAAAUCGUAAUGUUCGGUACGAACCUGAACUUUCCAGUUCGGGUUCGCUCAUCUCUACUCAUUUUUUACAUGUUAUAUGAGUUAAUUUACUAAAGCAGUACAAGCUUAACACAGAGUGUAAAGGCAUGGAUUAUUGCAAAGUGUGGCACAAGAUAUGUG